CCAGGCUCGUCGGGAGCAGGAAUCGGCCAUCGACGCCCAGCACUUCGCGAAGGCCCCCGAAAUUCCGUCCAAGGCUAAAUACUGGUGAGAGACCGAUAGCGAACAAGUACCGUGAGGGAAAGGUGAAAAGCACCCCGACAAGGGGAGUGAAAUAGAACCUGAAACCGGUUGCCUACAAGCAGUCGGAGGCCGCAAGGCUGACGGCGUACCUUUUGUAUAAUGGGUCAGCGACUUAUAUUCAGUGGCGAGCUUAACCGAAUAGGGGAGGCGUAGCGAAAGCGAGUCUUAAUAGGGCGUUUAGUCGCUGGGUAUAGACCCGAAACCGGGCG
Molecule: ribosomal RNA, 329 nt
Filed under: Mycobacterium tuberculosis
Lineage: Bacteria; Bacillati; Actinomycetota; Actinomycetes; Mycobacteriales; Mycobacteriaceae
Description: partial 23S ribosomal RNA
Rfam family: Bacterial large subunit ribosomal RNA
Source: RNAcentral